CAGUCGCCGCGGUAAUACGUAGGUGGCAAGCGUUGUCCGGAAUUAUUGGGCGUAAAGGGCUCGCAGGCGGUUUCUUAAGUCUGAUGUGAAAGCCCCCGGCUCAACCGGGGAGGGUCAUUGGAAACUGGGAAACUUGAGUGCAGAAGAGGAGAGUGGAAUUCCACGUGUAGCGGUGAAAUGCGUGGAGAUGUGGAGGAACACCAGUGGCGAAGGCGACUCUCUGGUCUGUAACUGACGCUGAGGAGCGAAAGCGUGGGGAGCGAACAGGAUUAGAUACCCGAGUAGUCCCUGUCUCUUAUAC
Molecule: ribosomal RNA, 301 nt
Filed under: uncultured bacterium
Lineage: Bacteria
Description: partial 16S ribosomal RNA
Rfam family: Bacterial small subunit ribosomal RNA
Source: RNAcentral